CAAGUCUUGUUGGUGGAUCACUUGGUUCGUAGAUCGAUGAAGAACGGGGCAAAACCCGUUAGAUAGCGUGAAUUGCAGACAUAUUGAACGCUAAAAUUUUGAACGCGAAUGGCAUUAACAGGUUUAUAUCUGUUAGUAUAUUCUAUUGAGGGUUGAU
This 157-nucleotide ribosomal RNA is filed under the name Steinernema sp. 1 SS-2003. RNAcentral's name for it is "5.8S ribosomal RNA". It matches the Rfam family "5.8S ribosomal RNA". Rfam says of the family: 5.8S ribosomal RNA (5.8S rRNA) is a component of the large subunit of the eukaryotic ribosome. It is transcribed by RNA polymerase I as part of the 45S precursor that also contains 18S and 28S rRNA. The record is from RNAcentral. Lineage: Eukaryota; Metazoa; Nematoda; Chromadorea; Rhabditida; Steinernematidae.